GCCUGAUCCAGCCAUGCCGCGUGCAGGAUGACGGUCCUAUGGAUUGUAAACUGCUUUUGCACAGGAAAAAACACUCCGACGUGUCGGAGCUUGACGGUACUGUGAGAAUAAGGAUCGGCUAACUCCGUGCCAGCAGCCGCGGUAAUACGGAGGAUCCAAGCGUUAUCCGGAAUCAUUGGGUUUAAAGGGUCCGUAGGCGGUCUUGUAAGUCAGUGGUGAAAGCCCAUCGCUCAACGGUGGAACGGCCAUUGAUACUGCAGGACUUGAAUUAUUGGGAAGUAACUAGAAUAUGUAGUGUAGCGGUGAAAUGCUUAGAGAUUACAUGGAAUACCAAUUGCGAAGGCAGGUUACUACCAAUGGAUUGACGCUGAUGGACGAAAGCGUGGGUAGCGAACAGGAUUAGAUACCCUGGUAGUCCACGCCGUAAACGAUGGAUACUAGCUGUUGGGAGCAAUCUCAGUGGCUAAGCGAAAGUGAUAAGUAUCCCACCUGGGGAGUACGAACGCAAGUUUGAAACUCAAAGGAAUUGACGGGGGCCCGCACAAGCGGUGGAGCAUGUGGUUUAAUUCGAUGAUACGCGAGGAACCUUACCAAGGCUUAAAUGCAGACUGACCGAUUUGGAAACAGAUCUUUCGCA
This 637-nucleotide ribosomal RNA is filed under the name Flavobacterium sp. So2Pw_1354. Its description in RNAcentral is "bacterial SSU rRNA". It matches the Rfam family "Bacterial small subunit ribosomal RNA", at positions 381 to 1019 of the family's 1533-position model. Lineage: Bacteria; Pseudomonadati; Bacteroidota; Flavobacteriia; Flavobacteriales; Flavobacteriaceae. The record is from RNAcentral.